AAAUGCGAUACGUAGUGUGAAUUGCAGAAUUCAGUGAAUCAUCGAAUCUUUGAACGCACAUUGCGCCCUUUGGUAUUCCAAAGGGCAUGCCUGUUCGAGCGUCAUUUGUACCCUCAAGCUUUGCUUGGUGUUGGGCGUUUUUUGUCUUUGGCUCGCCCAAAGACUCGCCUUAAAACGAUUGGCAGCCGGCCUACUGGUUUCGCAGCGCAGCACAUUUUUGCGCUUGCAAUCAGCAAAAGAGGACGGCAAUCCAUCAAGACUCCUUCUCACGUUUGACCUCGGAUCAGGUAGGGAUACCCGCUGAACUUAAGC
This 312-nucleotide unclassified non-coding RNA is filed under the name plant metagenome. Its description in RNAcentral is "partial contains 5.8S ribosomal RNA, internal transcribed spacer 2, and large subunit ribosomal RNA". The stretch from base 1 to 104 matches the Rfam family "5.8S ribosomal RNA", at positions 51 to 154 of the family's 154-position model. The record is from RNAcentral.